This 433-nucleotide ribosomal RNA is filed under the name uncultured bacterium. Its description in RNAcentral is "partial 16S ribosomal RNA". It matches the Rfam family "Bacterial small subunit ribosomal RNA", at positions 29 to 507 of the family's 1533-position model. The record is from RNAcentral.
AACGAACGCUGGCGGCAGGCUUAACACAUGCAAGUCGAACGGAUCCUUCGGGAUUAGUGGCAGACGGGCGAGUAACGCGUGGGAACGUACCCUUUGCUACGGAAUAACUCAGGGAAACUUGAGCUAAUACCGUAUGUGCCCUACGGGGGAAAGAUUUAUCGGCAAAGGAUCGGCCCGCGUUGGAUUAGCUAGUUGGUGGGGUAAUGGCCUACCAAGGCGACGAUCCAUAGCUGGUCUGAGAGGAUGAUCAGCCACACUGGGACUGAGACACGGCCCAGACUUCUACGGGAGGCAGCAGUGGGGAAUAUUGGACAAUGGGCGCAAGCCUGAUCCAGCCAUGCCGCGUGAGUGAUGAAGGUCUUAGGAUUGUAAAGCUCUUUCACCGGUGAAGAUAAUGACGGUAGCCGGAGAAGAAGCCCCGGCUAACUUCGUG